CUGCGAGUUCGCGGGAGAGUAGGUUAUUGCCAGGGUUUUUAUUUUAUACUUUAAACUUUGAUUUUAUUUUUAUGUUUUUUAAAUAUUGGUGUUUUUGAAUGUGUUGUUUAAAUAACAUAAAAAAUAAAAUAUAUAUUGACAUGUAUUAAACAAAGAUAUAUAUUAUUUUAUGUUGUAUAAAUAAAUUGGCAAAAUAGAGAUGGAAGAUAAAAAUAUGGUCAAAGUAAUAAGAGUCUAUGGUGAAUGCCU
Molecule: unclassified non-coding RNA, 249 nt
Filed under: Borreliella burgdorferi (Lyme disease spirochete)
Lineage: Bacteria; Pseudomonadati; Spirochaetota; Spirochaetia; Spirochaetales; Borreliaceae
Description: partial 5S-23S ribosomal RNA intergenic spacer region
Source: RNAcentral